This is a non-coding RNA of Odocoileus virginianus texanus, 1451 nucleotides long. The record is from RefSeq and is a predicted model, not a curated record. Lineage: Eukaryota; Metazoa; Chordata; Mammalia; Artiodactyla; Cervidae.
GGUCCAGGCCGGAGCGCUUGGAGAUGCGGAGCUUGGCCACCUCCUCCGCACAGGUGGGGUGGAUGCCCACUGUCCGCAUCACCUGCAGCCGGCAGCCAGGAACACCUGCCAACUCCACCUCCCACCCGCCCGGCCAGGCCCCCUGCUGCCCCCAGGAGCACACGGCCCUAAGUGAGUCCAGCCCGCUCCCCUCUGCCCUCCUGUGUCUGAAAGCCCUUGCCAGCUGCCCAGCCCCUUCACUCCCAGAAACCCAGCCCCGAAGGAGCGGCCACAGCACGGGCCCUGGGACCCCGCCAUGCACAGCCUGCAUCCGGGGCUGGCUCCAGGGGACAUGUGCUCGCUGGGUGGCCCUCCCAGUACAUGCGAUGCCAAGCUGCUCCCGACCGCCUGGGCACUCAUUCUGAGCAGAGAAGACCCACAGGGACCCCUUGGCUGGUCGAGGACCACAAGCCUGUCCUAGAGAUGAACAUGACCACGCUUCGGGUGACUGGACCCGCCCCAUCGGGUGGACGCUCUCUGAAAACACCACCCCACGGACAAGCGGUCUGAAGCAGCAGACUCAACAGCCGAGCAGCCUGCGAGUGGCGUAUCGGCCGACAUUCCUGCGGACUCACUUGAUCCCCAGGGCAAAUCCCUGAGUAACUUCGCCUGCGUUGGGGCCAAGGAAGUGCAGGCCCAGCACCAGCUGAGGGGGCUCCCGCAGACACACCAUCUGAAAGGCACAUGGUCAGCGGGGGCGGCGGGGCCUGUGCGCCCAGGCCCCCGGGGGGAUGCUCACCUUUAUGUAGCACUGAGAUGCAUCCCGCUGGGGGACCGUGAACUCUAGUGGCUUAUAGAACGCGUGGUAAACCUGGGCGGCAAGACAAGGAUUCCCGGGUCACUGACUGCAGCACAGCAAGCCCCAGGGCCUCCUCGAGUGGGUCAGGCUGUGGGCGCGGUGGGGGAGCCACAACCACCCACUGGGCCUGCAGGCUGUGAUCCGGGCUGAGGACAAGGCCCCGCUGGCCUGCAGGCGCCCGCCCCCCUGGGCACGGCAGCCUGUGGACAGACCGUCUCCCAGCAGGCCCGAGACUCUGGAGAACUGCGGCAGUGAGGCAGGCUGCCCUCUGACCUGCCCCAGAGCCCGGGGCUCAGAGCAGGCCCAGGCACCACCCAGGCGGACACUGCCCAGACUGGGCGCUGGAGGGGGCCCAGCUGCCCGUCCCGUUUCCCCAGCCCCCAGUGCUCUCCAGGCCCUCACUCCAGCCAGCAGGGGGGCAACCACAGCCCCCACCGACUGCGGGACAAAGGCUUUCAGCGCCCGAGAAGGGCCGACAGCGUGGUCAGGGCUGCGGCCGCGUAAAAAAUGAGCAAGGUGCUCACAUGUGCUGCACAGCCAUUAUUAAUUAAUGCAGCUUCAGAGAAUAUUGUUCUAACGGAGACAGAAUUGAAAAGAAAACAAACAAAGGGCA